This is a long non-coding RNA of Tripterygium wilfordii, 5272 nucleotides long. RefSeq lists it as uncharacterized. The record is from RefSeq and is a predicted model, not a curated record. The transcript has 2 exons. Lineage: Eukaryota; Viridiplantae; Streptophyta; Magnoliopsida; Celastrales; Celastraceae.
UAGUAAUACCCCAUGGGUCUACUGACAUAUCCACCUCGCACUUGAGUGGUGGUCACGCGAUGUAAAAUCACGUCAAGCGAAACUAACGGGAACGUCUCCCGGGUACAUUGUACAAUUAAAGAGAAACCAAAACGCACCGUACAUUUUCUAUGCAGAAAGAGGGAGACCUUUACUUGUUUGUGUUGGGAUGAGAUGUCCAUUGAUUGGCUAAGGGCCAACUACAUUGGUGGAGGUGAAUUAUGGGCCGUUGAAAGAAACAAUUGCGCAAAAUUGUCGUGAAAGAGGUGGAUAUGAUAUGAAAAUUGUACCUGCACAACUCAAAACCCCCAUUCGAUAAGUCAUGAUCAUGGUGGCGUUCCCUUUUCCUAUUCUUAUCUUGUCAUGGUCUCUUUAGUGCGGUACUGAGUCACUGAGUGGUAGCUAUACUUAAAACCACUCCUUGCUCGCGCUCCCAUGGAAGGUCUAUAAGAACUUUCUCCAGCUUUUCUGUCACUGAUUUAUUUCUAUCAUUGUUAUCAUUGGUUGACAACGAGAGAGAGCACGCUUGUCAGCAUUCAUGGGGAGGACAUGGUUGUAUACAAGCGUGCUCUCUCUCGUUGUCAUACGAUGUGCUCAAGGCAAGGUUUUUCUCUUCUACUGUGUUUAUGUUUCCCAGAAGGUGGUUCUGACCCCAUACAGCAGCUGGACUUUGGAGUGUGCUGAGAACAAUGUCAUUUAAAAGUGUGCCUAUAUCUUGAUCCACUGUAAAGUAUUCACAUUCAUUCCCUUUCUUUUGGUGGGUGUGAUUUUGUACUAGAAGUUUUUGAGUCAUCAUUUCGUUCUAGGACUACUGCAGAUGGAUAUUCUAUUAUCACAGAAUGUCAUUGAACUUUUUUUCUCAAACAUUCUCUUUGCCGAGAUGAUAAUUAGUUGCUCAAUAUGUUUUUGACCAUUACCCUUUCGAUGAUGCAUUAUGACUUAUGAGUGCGUAGAAAUGGCACCAGAAUUAAAGUAGUAGACUAGUAGGCAGUAGCUUUGGCUUAUUGUUAAUGAUAUGCUAACCUCCCAUGCAUGAUAUAUUGGGAAUGAAUUUUCUUGAAGGUUUCUUUGUUGUUCAUCUUAGCAUGGUAUUACCUUUUUUUAAAAAAAAUUAUCAGGAAACUUAUAGCAAAAGGCACCAAUGUGGUGUACCUGGUAAUUACAAGCCUGGACUUGAGGGUGAAUCUAAUGCUUAAAGAAUCAAAAUUAUGAAUGGAACAAGGAUUUGGAUUUUUUUGUCAAUGUCAUGAUAUCCUUGCCAAAGAAGAUUCUAAACCCUCAAAGCCUAACUUGUCAUUUUUUCUUGCCAAAUCUCCCACCAAGUGUGUGAUGACAUAAUUGCUGUUAAAAUUUCUUCUCUCCUUGUUGUUGUGAAGAAAACUCCAACGUUAAACUUCUUUAGAAAGUUUUUAUAGCAUUGAAGAAAUAUGACUUCCAAAGAAUUACCAAAAAUAAAGUUCUCCUUUCAUUCUUUCCAAAUAAUUCUCUCUCUAAGUUUUUUCCUGUAUGAGGUAGGUUCACCCAUAAUGCAAUGUGCAGUGAGAUAAUAUGCACAUUCCCCAAUUUCCCUACUCUAUUUCCAUGUAUCUUUCCAAAACUUGCACUUCUCACAAUUUCCAUCCUCUAAGGAUGUGAAAGAAAAACCAAUGUUUCCAUUGUUUCGUUUCUACAUACAAACCCCAAAACCAAGGAUUGCCCUCCUUAAAAUGCUGGUGUAACCAUUAUGAUCAAAACAAGCGCAAAGAUAACGUUUAUCCAAGGCGAUCUAAUUAAUACUUUGUCAAAAUGAGGUUUGAGACGAAGUGUAACCUCCCAAUUCUUGGGAAGAAUAUCCUUUUCCAUAUGAAGAAGAUAUUAUUUCAUCUCUCUAUUGUUGUUUCCCCAAAGAAAGUUCUUUCAAAUUGUCUCUAACCUCAAAGCCUUUGAACAAGUGCUUUGAAAAAUUGUUAGUUCCCUCUUUGGAGAUUAGCUUCUCUUUCACCUAGUUGGCUUUUUUUCAAACUUUUCUAAAAGGAAAUUCCUAUGGAAUUUAUAUAUUAUAUACAGCACCUGAUGAGAUUAUGAGAGUCUAUAAAAUGUUGGAUGGGAAUAGUGAAGAUCUGGCAACCUAUACAUCUUAUGUACCAAAGUAAUGAGUCUAAGUGCUUGAUGUAGCUUUAUGAACCUAAGAAGUUUUCCCAUGGUAAAAUGUUUAUAUCGAUUUAUCAGCACAAAGCCACACACCCCCAAGAUGUUCGGGUAAAUUUGCUUCUACAUACCUUACUUCUUGUGUUUGGAUUCUUUAAUGAAGCGAUAUGCUAGACUAUUUGAGUUAGCAAAAGUUGAAUAUGCCUUCAUAAAUGGAACUCUUGAAGUGGCCAAGGGGUCGACUCAUUCAUACGUUUCAUACUAGGGUCAUUGAUUGCCAAUAAAGGGUUCAAUAUAUUUCUUUUGAGGAGCUCGUGGUCUAGUGGUAGCUUGCCUUUUCAUCACUUGCAUGAGGUGCAACCUUUGAUUCCUUCCCAUACUAUGGCAAGCUACAGUGAGUGCGCAUGUGUGCUGGCCCACGGACUUGUGUUUGUGUUGGUGGGGUUUCAGUCCUGUAUAAAGAACGAGUUUGCUUGUUACACCAGUUGGUAAAGGAUUUUUCUUUUAUGAAAUUGGUAUCUGGAAGUUAUGUUUAUGAUUCCAAGCAGAACUAGGUCAUAGUCACUGCAUGAAAAUCUUGGGAUUUGAUAAGAAUGAGAAUUGGAUUUUACUUUUUCUGACUGGCAAGACUGAUUUUUUUCUUAUUUUCUUUGUUUUAAAUAUAUUCAGUUUGUUUGCUUCAAUGUUGUGUAAUUUUAGAUGAUUUUUUUUCAAGGAGUUAUAAGAAGGAAAUUCACUCUACAUCUGAAUUUGUUGGUUUUUGAUGUCUUUUAUCCUUGCUAUUACAGUUUGUGAUUGAGGCUAUUCUCAUUAGCACGUCCUUUUGGUGGGAUCAAUGGUAUGAUUGGCCUUGUACAUCCAGUAAUAUUAUUAGCAUUCAGAAUGGGGAAUGGGGUCUGGUGCUCUCAUGUUUUUCUUUCGUUGGCUAAUCUGCUAUGUUCUGUUCUCUCACUUUUUUUUUUCCUUCUCUUUUGCUGCUCAUUUUCUUCCAUACUUUAUUCCUAGAAACCCUAGUUUGGGCCACAUAACUAGAUUUUGUCUUUGCGUAUUAUUGUUCCAAAUAUUUCAUUAUAACAAAAAAAUUGAUCAUGUUAUUUUGGGGCCUUCACACUUGGAUAAACUUUUGUGCUUUUUUUUUUUUUUUCCCGUCACGUGUUUCCUUGAAUCAAAAUAACACACUUUGUUCCGCUUUGAUUCUCUUCGUGCUGCUUUUUUUUUUUUUUUUUUCAUUUUGAAAGUUGUUUGUUGUAUGCCAUUAUUCUUACCUAUUUGUGUGCUACAUUGAAGGAUAAUAUGGACAUAUUUGAUAAUAUGCAUUUUAAAUAAUCUUAGAAAGAUUAAACUAUAUUUGGCCAGGAUUUAUUUGGAAAAAUACAAUGGAGGCAUCUUCUCGUUUAACAACUUCUUUUUUUUCCCAUUUUCCGGCUAAGCGCUUGGUAUUUUUUGUAAUAUUCAAGUCUCCGCUCCCCCCAAAAGCUUUCCUACAAAAGAGAGAAUGUUUUUGUUGUGACAACCAUCUCAAAAGGUUACAAAUUUUAAUGAGGAAGUUUCCUUUGGACAAAAAUGUACAAGAUCUAGGAUUUGGGGCAUAAUUUAUACUUGGGUAUCUAUAUAUGAUAGGUCUUGCAUAAUUUUAUUUUUGUUGUAGAAGAAAGAGAGACAGGCAAUUGUGGCGUAGUUAGCAUUUCCAUUCAGGUGAGUACUGUUUCUUUAUUUUUUAUAAGGAGUUAUUUUUGGUACUGUUCAUAUUAUACCAUGUGGCCAACAAGUUUAAGGCCUGCUUAGGGUGGGGAUUUAAUAUUUAGAUUUCUAUAAAACACUUGCACAUCUUUUAGUCAAAUGGAAUUUGUGAAAGCAAAUUAUUAAGAAUUAAUCUUCCUCGUUUUGUUUUGAGGUACUUUAGCCUAGGGUUUCUAUCGUUUUCUUUAGCUUUCCUUUUCAGUAAAAUUUUUCAUUGAACAAUUCUUCUUAAUUCGUAUUUUUCCUUUGUGGGAUCCUUUAAUUCCUUGUUUUUCAAUCUGAUAGGUUUCACUAACUGAUUAAUGACACAUUUUGUAUCUCCCACUAACUCUAUUGAUUGCACCUCAAACCCUAAUAAGUAAUAACUAAUUAAAAUUUGUCGUAUUACCAGGUGAUUUAGACAGUAAUUGCUAUAUCUCAUGUGGCUCUUGCCGAGGAAGAUUUAGCAAGAGAAUAAUUUUCUACAAUAUAUACUGAAUUAAAUACUUGUGCUUAGUUGGCGUGUUCUGAGUCGUCUGACAAAUAUCAUGAUGGUCCAAGGAGAUAUUCUUUGCAGUCUCAGUCUGGAUUGAUUUUUUGAAGCUGGCUUCUUUGGUAUGUUGCUUCAAAACUCAGUGGUGACUUUUUGAAUCCAUUUGCGUGAGAAUUUUCAGAGAAUUGAUUUGCUAAUUAAUACUGUGCCUGUUGCUGUUGUUGGAUGCACCUCUGGUCUUAUCAGACGGUGCCACAUUAAUUUAUUGAAGCACGGGGAAUAAAUGUCUCUGGUGGCACCUUUUGUUUUUUUACAAUGGCAGAUACUUUAUGUUGUGGGGAGUAUUAAAUGAACUUGGAUUUUCAACUUGGUCUAUUCUGCAUGUGAUUAGGAUUUAUAUGCUCAAAGGUUAGAGUAUUAAUCGGUGCCGAGAGCCCCUUCAGUAGUGUGCUGACAUUGGAAUCAUGCUAUGUAUUAUGUUCGCAUUUGGCGAAAGGUGAUGCAACUGAAGAGGCUAUAUUACAUUAUUAUGCCAGCAUUUCAAUUUUCUGGCUGAAAGUGCUCCUGACUUGAAGUUUGUAACAAGCUUUGCAUUGUUCCUGUUCUUGGCUCAAGUCACGGAAAAUACAGUCUGGGUGGUUUUUUUCUUUACCAUUAGUAUGUGGUCCACUUCACUCCAAUUCAGUUGUAUGAUUGUGUUUCACUUGAGAUUGGAAUUGUAUGCUCAAUUAACACCGGACUUGCAAAACUUUAGCUGACCAUAUGUUGGUCGUUUGUGUCAUGCCGCAUGACAAGCGGUGGUUUGUGACGAAACCUAGAUUGUUUUGAAGUGGUCUGCUUUUCCCGGUUGGUUUGUUCCUCUUUUGGUUUGAGGCAAAUUUUGUGAUGGACUACGGAGGAUAGACAGACAGACAA